Molecule: ribosomal RNA, 484 nt
Filed under: uncultured bacterium
Lineage: Bacteria
Description: partial 16S ribosomal RNA
Rfam family: Bacterial small subunit ribosomal RNA
Source: RNAcentral
AUUGAACGCUGGCGGCAGGCCUAACACAUGCAAGUCGAGCGGAUGAAGGGGGCUUGCUCCUGGAUGCAGCGGCGGACGGGUGAGUAAUGCCUAUGAAUCUGCCUGGUAGUGGGGGAUAACGUCCGGAAACGGGCGCUAAUACUGCAUACGUCCUGAGGUAGAAAGUGGGGGGUCUUCGGACCUCACGCUAUCAGAUGAGCAUAGGUCGGAUUCGCUAGUUGGUGGGGUAAAGGCCUACGAAGGCGACGAUCCGUAACUGGUCUGAGAGGAUGAUCAGUCACACUGGAACUGAGACACGGUCCAGACUCCUACGGGAGGCAGCAGUGGGGAAUAUUGGACGAUGGGCGAAAGCCUGAUCCAGCCAUGCCGCGUGUGUGCAGAAGGUCCUCGGAUUGUAAAGCACUUUAAGUUGGGAGGAAGGGAAGUAAGUUAAUACCUUGCUGUAUUGACGGUACCAAGAGAAUAAGCACCGGCUAACUUCGUG